GAAUGGGCCUCCUUUCUCUGGGCCUAUUUGCAUCAGGAAACCAGAACAAUUUACAUUUUAUUAGUAUUACCUUUAUUCAGUGCAGAAGAGAGAAAUGACUGCAGGGGAAAACACCAACAAUGUUUGCAACAGGAGGCAAGGAGUGGAGGAUCAAAAGUCCAAGCAGAGAAUGGACUGUAGUGGUGGAUGUAGAAAUCACUGAAAAUGAGGACGGGGUGUAGUGGCGCCAGCAGCCAGCAGGGCUCAAGUCUUCAACAAUGGCCACAGUGCUGGGGAAGGAGCAGAGCACUGCAUAGCAGGAGUGAUGGGUGCUGUCCAGAAAGGUCCUUCCGUGUUUUCAGAUGGGCAGCCUACUCUCUCUGUUGCCCUGGACCCUCGGCCUCAGGACCCUUCCUCUUCUUGGAGUCUCGCCUCCCCUGUCCUCACCCCAGGCUGCCUGCAGCCCACCAUGCUGCACUCAUCUCCUUUUCCCAGAGCAGCAUCCCGCGCCAGCUCUCAGAUAGAUGGAAAAGCUGCAGCAGCACAGAGAGCAGAAGCAGUCGAGAUGCAGGAGCCUUUCUCCUCUCCAGACGACAGUGCACCCCCGGCCCGCUAGUCCUUCCGGGCCUCCUGUCCACACCCAGCGCUCCAACUCCAUGUUUGCAUCCGCCUUCGCGACCCUCUGCAGUCUGGUGAGUCCCCCACCCACACAUUCGCCUCAUGGACUCGCUCCACACCUAUGAGCUCCCAUUCUGCAGGAGAAGUCAGGUGCGGGGAAUGGGAAUACAACGGACCCUCAUCCGGCCUGGGAGGGCCCCUCCAAGACCUCCAGCACCCCAACCCAGUUUGGCACAGGAUGCUCGUGUCCCCAGACAGCCGGUCAACUGCGAGCCCUCCGACACAGCUCAGCAGAGAGCCGGCGAGUCCCCCAGACACCAAGCCGAUGUGGAGUCCUGGACCCAGCUCUGCAAAGUGCAGCCCAGGACCCCACCCAGUUGCACACCAGGCGUCAAGCCCAAGGUUUCCGUUGCCAUUCCGAGUCAUCAUCUGCCUGUGGCCAUCAGCACCUGUGCCAGGCCCAGGUGAGCUGGCUGGAAGACGCUGCUACCUGGUAGAAGAAAAUACCUUAUACCAGUCAUUGUGUGCCACUGUACCGCACUCUGAGAAUCUGAGCCCGAAAGUCGCAGACAGAAGAAUGGCCUCAGAAACUUCCCAUUGCCUCCUGGCAACCAUGGCUGUGGCCACAUCCUUGGCUCCCAGGACGUGCCCCAGCUGCCAGAAAGGGAAGAGUCAAUCCCAAUGGCCCCUCCCACACCACAAUUGGAUCAAUCUGUGAUACAGAUGUAAGGCCAGGAAAGGGGGCAGGAAGAACAGCCUAAACUCAAAGAAGCAGAGUGUCUUGACCCAGACAUGAGAAAUCUGAGGCUCCCAGUCCAGGAAAUCCGUCUCUACUGGAGAGCAGGCCAGGGGCUGUCUGUGAAUGCGGAGAUCGCUGCCUCUGUCGGAGGCGCACUUGGAAGUGCCAGUGAUUCUUGGCCAAGUGCCAAGGCCUGGCCAGUGCUUUGAGCCAUUCAGAGCACAGUUCCCCUGUGCCCAGGUGCUGGUGGGUUCAUGGCCUGAAGACCUCUGGUUUGGGACCAACGUCAGCCUGAUGACCUGGUGGCGUAUCACCUGGGAGCCUUUUUCUUCUGGGGAGUUCUCUUGUUCAGAAGGAGCAAAGGCUGCCAUGCCUUAGAACAGAGAAUAACUGGCAUUUGGAAGAGCUGUCCAUGGAAAUCCAACUUACAGAGCAAGCGUAGCAGACUGAGGGAAAGCUGAAACUGAUGAAAACAGCUCUUGACACCAGCAG
This 1828-nucleotide long non-coding RNA is filed under the name Equus asinus (donkey). Its description in RNAcentral is "lncRNA (ENSEASG00005024106.1)". The record is from RNAcentral. Lineage: Eukaryota; Metazoa; Chordata; Mammalia; Perissodactyla; Equidae.